AGUUGGAACGACUGCUAAUACCGGAUGUGCCGGGAGGUGAAAGAUUAAUCGCCUGAAGAUAAGCUCGCGUCUGAUUAGCUAGUAGGUGGGGUAAGAGCCUACCUAGGCGACGAUCAGUAGCUGGUCUGAGAGGAUGAUCAGCCACACUGGGACUGAGACACGGCCCAGACUCCUACGGGAGGCAGCAGUGGGGAAUUUUCCGCAAUGGGCGAAAGCCUGACGGAGCAAUACCGCGUGAGGGAGGAAGGCUCUUGGGUUGUAAACCUCUUUUCUCAAGGAAGAAAAAAAUGACGGUACUUGAGGAAUAAGCAUCGGCUAACUCCGUGCCAGCAGCCGCGGUAAUACGGAGGAUGCAAGCGUUAUCCGGAAUGAUUGGGCGUAAAGCGUCCGCAGGUGGCCCUGUAAGUCUGCUGUUAAAGAGUUACGCUUAACGUAAUAAAAGCAGUGGAAACUACAGAGCUAGAGUGCGUUCGGGGCAGAAGGAAUUCCUGGUGUAGCGGUGAAAUGCGUAGAGAUCAGGAAGAACACCGGUGGCGAAAGCGUUCUGCUAGGCCGCAACUGACACUGAGGGACGAAAGCUAGGGGAGCGAAUGGGAUUAGAUACCCCCNAAUUUUCCACCCCUUUACCNCCCCUCCGG
Molecule: ribosomal RNA, 638 nt
Filed under: Anabaena sp. 8B5
Lineage: Bacteria; Bacillati; Cyanobacteriota; Cyanophyceae; Nostocales; Nostocaceae
Description: bacterial SSU rRNA
Rfam family: Bacterial small subunit ribosomal RNA
Source: RNAcentral